Molecule: ribosomal RNA, 630 nt
Filed under: uncultured Acidobacteriota bacterium
Lineage: Bacteria; Pseudomonadati; Acidobacteriota
Description: bacterial SSU rRNA
Rfam family: Bacterial small subunit ribosomal RNA
Source: RNAcentral
AACGCGUAGGUGACCUACCCGGAAGUGGGGAAUAACUGCCCGAAAGGGUGGCUAAUACCGCAUGUGGUCGGCGAAUCAGAUCGCCGUCCAAAGCCGAACGGCGCUUCCGGAGGGGCCUGCGUCCGAUUAGCUAGUUGGCGAGGUAACGGCUCACCAAGGCGACGAUCGGUAGCUGGUCUGAGAGGAUGAUCAGCCAGACUGGGACUGAGAACGGCCCAGACUCCUACGGGAGGCAGCAGUCGGGAAUUUUGCCCAAUGGACGAAAGUCUGAGGCAGCAACUCCGCGUGAGGGAUGAAGGCUUUCGGGUCGUAAACCUCUUUUCCCAGGGAAGAUCCAAGACGGUACCUGGGGAAUAAGCCACGGCUAACUACGUGCCAGCAGCCGCGGUAAUACGUAGGUGGCGAGCGUUAUCCGGAUUUACUGGGCGUAAAGCGCGCGCAGGCGGCUGGCCAAGUCCGAUGUGAAAGCUUCCGGCUUAACUGGAAAACGGCAUCGGAUACUGGUCGGCUGGAAGGUGGGAGAGGGUAGCGGAAUUCCCGGUGUAGUGGUGAAAUGCGUAGAUAUCGGGAGGAACACCAGUGGCGAAAGCGGCUACCUGGCCCACUCUUGACGCUGAGGCGCGAAAGCUA